UGUGACCUUACCAUCAAAAACACAAAUAUAUUUCCAUUAGAUUUUAUGUGAUAUACCAAAACAAAGUAGCACAUAAUUGUGAAGCGCAACAAAAUUUCCCCUUGUGUUAUACUGUACAUACACUUGUUCUUUGAAGGUAUCUCUGGUUUGUUGAAAAAAAGCAUCUCAAAGACAAAUGAACUCACCAGACAAGUCAGUGAUAAAGUUGUGGACAAGCCAUUGU
Long non-coding RNA from Hippocampus comes (tiger tail seahorse), 223 nucleotides. RefSeq lists it as uncharacterized. Lineage: Eukaryota; Metazoa; Chordata; Actinopteri; Syngnathiformes; Syngnathidae. The record is from RefSeq and is a predicted model, not a curated record. The transcript is spliced from 2 exons.